Podarcis raffonei (Aeolian wall lizard) is the source of this 285-nucleotide long non-coding RNA. RefSeq lists it as uncharacterized. The record is from RefSeq and is a predicted model, not a curated record. The transcript is spliced from 2 exons. Lineage: Eukaryota; Metazoa; Chordata; Lepidosauria; Squamata; Lacertidae.
AACAAUAGCUCAACAAUUUUGUCUUCAGCGUCUAUAUUUUUGGUUUGGUGAAAUAUGUUCUAUUCACCAACCUGGAUUAUUAGUUCCAUUUAUCACAAAGCAAGUUUUUAGACCUCAUGGUUUCAGAGAAGCUCAGAAGAAAACUGAAUAGCACUUGUCAUAGUUGUGAUAAAGCUUCUGUUGACUUACCUCUCCUACUGCACCCUGCCUCUCAUGUAUUCUGCAGUUUGUGAAAAGUCUCUACAGCCCACCUGGUGUUUAUAAUAAAUGUUAACUAGGAAUGUU